Triticum aestivum (bread wheat) is the source of this 631-nucleotide long non-coding RNA. RefSeq lists it as uncharacterized. NCBI's taxonomy places the organism in Eukaryota, Viridiplantae, Streptophyta, Magnoliopsida, Poales, Poaceae. The record is from RefSeq and is a predicted model, not a curated record. The transcript is spliced from 2 exons.
CCUGGGAAUGGUCAACAAACCUAAGUGAGUUGUUUGAAACCACUGCUUUCAGAGAAGCUUAUGUUUGAUGCCUUUUUGAGGCAUUUGACCUUUCUUGUCCACUUUAAUGAAGCCUAUGCUGGUGACAUGCAUGCGUUGCAAUUCAUGGAGGUGAACCCCCAGACUGACCAUGAGAAUGGCGAUCAGGGUCAAGUUGUCGAUACUGGUGUGGGAUUUUCUUUGAUGUACGCCUUCACACCACUCACACACACACACACACACCAUUACGGCUGUUAGUGGUCAUAUAGUUUUUGGCUGACCACAACCUGUUUUUCGGUGGGUUAGGGUUCAGUUAUAAUGCUACAUGUAAGAGUCAGAUGUGCCCCUAGGUUUGAAGAACAUAGAACCGCCACUGGACUACGAUGAGCUUCAACCUGUAGUUUGUUCGCCAAUCUACUGGGUGUUGUGAGCUUGUUUUGCUUAGAUAACUGUCAUUCACUGUAAUGUGCCUUGAGUUUUCCUACUCGUAAAAAUAGAAGUUUUCCUACCCAGUAGUGCAUCCCAAAGGGAUCUUGUGUGUAUAACUGUCUGCCUUGUACAUGCAACAUUUGGCUGACCCCAGGAAUGCAAAAAGAAAUGUAAAGAAAAUAUA